AGCAGCUUGAUAUACGAAAGCGAUUGCGCGCCAACAUCGGGAAUUUUCCUGUUCUGUGUUGCAAUAUAUGGAAGUGCUUCCGAUCGCAUGCAAGAUCGGACGAAGUAACAAAGAUUACUGCCUGCAAGUCGCUUUCAGUACAUGUAACAAUCCCACUGACGAUCUGAAAUGGUUGGAUUGAAGUUGAAUUUUCCGUUAAUCCAUUAAGACAUGAGCGAAUUUAGCUGUUGUUUACAAGGAAUAGAAACGGAGCUAUGUGGAAUCGAAGCUUCAGCAGCAAUGCAACGCGCGCGGUGUUGAAGGAGAAGAAAUGGGAUGCGCUCAUCGUCGGCGCCGGCCACAACGGUUUGAUAGCCGCCGCUUAUCUUGCCCGUGGCGGCCUCUCUGUUGCAGUGCUUGAGAGGCGCCAUGUGAUCGGCGGCGCUGCUGUUACCGAAGAGCUGAUUCCAGGGUUUAAAUUCUCUCGCUGUAGUUACCUCCUAAGCCUCCUUCGGCCCUCCAUAAUCAGGGACCUGGAAUUGAGGAGACAUGGGUUGAAGCUAUUGAAACCCAUGGCUGCAUCUUUUACACCCUGCCUGGAUGGUCGUCAUCUUCUACUUGGAAUGGACGAUGAACAUGAUUACUUGGAGAUAUCUAAGUUUUCAAGAAGGGAUGCAGAGGCGUACCCAAGAUAUGAAAGACAGCUUCAUAAGUACUGUAAGUUCAUGGAUUUUAUCUUGGAUUCGCGAACUCCUGAAGCAUUACAUAAGGGUUCAUCAUUUAAUCACCGGUUGAGAGAGAAGGUGCAGAACUCUAUUUUCUGGGGUCGUUGUCUCCAGCAUGCGCUAUCAUUAGGACAAAAAGAUAUGGUGGAGUUGAUAGACCUUCUAGUAUCACCAACUGCUAAGGUCUUAAAUGAGUGGUUUGAGUCGGACGUAUUGAAGGCAACACUUGCAGGAGAUGCCAUCAUUGGGACAAUGACAAGCAUCAAUAAUUCUGGAAGUGGAUAUGUCCUACUACAUCAUGUAAUGGGAGAAACUACUCAUGGUGACCGUAAUAUUUGGUCACAUGUUGAAGGUGGGAUGGGUUCGGUAUCCAUGGCCAUAAGUAACGCUGCCAAAGAAGCUGGAGUUCAUAUUGCAACAAAUGCAGAGGUUUCAGAAUUGAUGAUAGAAGACUCUGGUAGAUUAAAGGGGGUGUUGCUGGUGGAUGGAACACAAGUGCAUUCAUCGGUUGUUCUAUCAAAUUCAACCCCCUAUAAAACAUUCAUGGAAAUGGUGCCUCAUACUUUUCUUCCAGAUGAUUUUCUACAUGCUAUCAAAUGUUCCGACUAUACUUCAGGAACAACAAAAAUAAACGUUGCUGUUGACAAAUUGCCGCAGUUCCAUUCUUGCAACUUGAAUAGUCAAGAGGAGGUGGGUCCUCAGCAUACAGCAACUAUUCAUAUUGGUGCUGCAAGAAUGGAAGAUAUUGGCAAAGCUUGCCAAGAUGCCUGGAAUGGCUUUCCAUCAAGACGACCUAUUAUGGAGAUGACAAUUCCUUCCUCUCUGGACAAAACUGUAUCUCCCCCUGGUAAGCACGUAGUCAGUUUAUUUACGCAGUAUACGCCCUACAAACCUUUAGAUGGGUGCUGGGAAGAUAUUACAUACAGAUAUGACAAGAAUGGCACUCUUAUCUUUGUAGGAUUUAUAUGCCCAAAGAUGUUUUAAGUUGAUUGAUGAAUAUGCACCUGGCUUCAGCUCAUCAAUCAUUGGUUAUGACAUGCUGACACCACCUGAUCUUGAGAGGGAAAUUGGUCUGACAGGAGGAAAUAUUUUUCAUGGAGCCAUGGGUCUAGAUUCUCUGUUCUUGAUGCGGCCUGUAAAAGGAUGGUCAAAUCACAGGACACCAAUUAGAGGACUAUACCUCUGCGGUAGUGGGUCGCAUCCUGGAGGUGGUGUCAUGGGGGCACCAGGUGGCAAUGCAGCACGUGUCGUUCUCGGUGAUCUGCGUGAGCCAUAGCCUUUAGGAUUUUGUCACGGUUUAUGCCCUCACAACACAGGUCUUGAAAUGUAAUCAGUAUCAGACCAUGUCAAGCUACACUAUGUAAAUGCCAUGGUGUUUGAGAAAAUUACGUGUUGUGUGCUGCUUU
Molecule: RNA transcript, 2110 nt
Organism: Cucurbita pepo subsp. pepo (vegetable marrow)
Lineage: Eukaryota; Viridiplantae; Streptophyta; Magnoliopsida; Cucurbitales; Cucurbitaceae
Source: RefSeq, a predicted model, not a curated record